CGGGUUGUCACGGGAAGAAAAUGGAUCUGGACUAAUUCAUGGCACGUGGACACCCACGCGUCCAGAGGGACCGCAGGUCAGAGGUCAGAGGGCUCUGUGUUAUGCAUGAAGCCUGGCCCCUCGCACCGAUGAAUAAGUGUGAGCGAUUUGCUUCCGAAGCCAGAUUCCUGCUCUAGAAAAUCAAAAGGAUGCUUCGCAGAGAGCUAAAGAAGAUGGUGGAGGAGUAAGACGGGGAGAUCGCUUGCCUUCUCACAAACACAUCAAAAACUCAUCAAAACAUGAAACAGCUCCUACAGAGCAGCUUCUACACAACAGCAGAAGACCCCGGGCUUCUAAAAAGGCAAGCUAGUCUCCCUGGAGCGAGACAUCGAGCCAAUGUUGCAAAGUGGUUAUCCUCCAAAUAAAAAUGAAAAGAGUAAAACA
This 423-nucleotide long non-coding RNA is filed under the name Bos indicus x Bos taurus (hybrid cattle). Its description in RNAcentral is "lncRNA (ENSBIXG00000001258.1)". The record is from RNAcentral. Lineage: Eukaryota; Metazoa; Chordata; Mammalia; Artiodactyla; Bovidae.